This 382-nucleotide ribosomal RNA is filed under the name uncultured eukaryote. RNAcentral describes it as "partial 18S ribosomal RNA". It matches the Rfam family "Eukaryotic small subunit ribosomal RNA", at positions 592 to 976 of the family's 1831-position model. The record is from RNAcentral.
CAAUAGCGUAUAUUAAAGUUGUUGCAGUUAAAAAGCUCGUAGUUGGAUUUCUGGUGGGAGCGAUCGGUCUGGCGCUUAGCGCGAGUACUUGCAUCGUCUCCGGCCAUCCUUGGGGAGAGUCUGUCUGGCAUUAGGUUGUCGGGCAGAGGAUCCUCAUCGUUUACUGUGAAAAAAUUAGAGUGUUCAAAGCAGGCUUAUGCCGUUGAAUAUAUUAGCAUGGAAUAAUAAGAUAGGACUUUGGUACUAUUUUGUUGGUUUGCGCACCAAAGUAAUGAUUAAUAGGGACAGUUGGGGGUAUUCGUAUUCCGUUGUCAGAGGUGAAAUUCUUGGAUUACGGAAGGCGAACUACUGCGAAAGCAUUUACCAAGGAUGUUUUCAUUAA